GGCAGACAACAAAGGACAAAGCAGAACCAGGCAAGCACACACAAACAUAAACAGAAAACAAACACAGGACAACAACAGGCAAACAGACCAGAACACAACAGGCACAAAGCAAAGCAGAACAGAAACACAGGGCAGAGCAGGAAGGCCGACCAAAACAGAGCUCGAGGGACCAGAGCAGAGCUCACGACAACAGACCAGAGAACUGACACGACACACGCAGCAAACAAGAAGACUACUCAAAAAAAGAAAAGAUAAGAGACAAGCAACCACAGAGGCUAAACUUGCCACACACAUAAACACAGAGAGUGAACUUUAACCAUGAUCAAUGUUCAAGGUUUUCUUGCAGGAAUUCAG
RNAcentral lists this long non-coding RNA (354 nucleotides) under Salvia miltiorrhiza (redroot sage). Its description in RNAcentral is "long non-coding RNA (SMIL_LNC011161)". The record is from RNAcentral. Lineage: Eukaryota; Viridiplantae; Streptophyta; Magnoliopsida; Lamiales; Lamiaceae.